UUAUCUUCAGGGGCCAGUGCACGUCCUGAAGGCCCCGCGGAGGGGCGCGCGGACACCGGGACCACCGUCCUCGCCCCUGGGGUCGAGCAGGAGCCGCGGGGCCUCGGGGUUCGCCUCGCUUGCUCCCGUCCAGCCUCCCGCCCGGCGCGGGGCGCGCAGAACAGCGGAGCGCGGGCGGAAGGCAGGGGGGCGGGACCGCCGCCGCCGCUCGCGCUCUUUCAAAGUUUCUUCAGUGGCACAGUUCCUGCGCGCUUCCUGUGGGGGCGGCAGCCGCGCCCUCGGCGCCCUGCCGCUCGCUGGCUCCAGGCGGAGGAGGCGGGGAGACCCGAGUCUGGGGCCGGGGCGGCGGCAGGCACCCGGGACCGAAAGGGGCCGGACGGGCGCGCCACUGGUCCUGGGGCUGGGUCCCACCAGAGCGCCGCGAGAGGGCGCUGCUGCCGGCGUGGCCGGGACCGGACCGCUGGACGCGGGCGCCGGCGGGGCAGGGCUGGGCCGCCCGGCGCCUCCCUUCGCGCGCCGACCAGGACACGGGCGACUGUGCCGCGAACCCCUCGCCUCCCCCGUGCGCGCCUGGCCGCCCGCUACUUACCCAGGAAGCCGAUACCUACUAUGUGACUGCAACUGUGCUGAGCACCCUGGGAAUGCCAGUGUCUACCACGUGGACAUCCAACAUUCACCUGCUUGCUAAGCAUUUAAGGAGGACCAGGCCCUGGGAAUACAAGUAGGAUGUAGUGGAGAAAAGAGGAGCAGGUGCUGAAUAAACAUUGAACAAGGUGUGGAAAAUUAAGCCCUGAAGACAACGGAGAACACACCGUUUAAGUAAUAAACUUGCCCUGGUGUCCUUCCUUUCCACAGUAGACAUAGACAAAUGGCACAUUACAAAGCUCCAUAACUCACAUUUUAAAAAGAAUUGCCUUUCGCUUACUCAAGUCAUAUGAUAGAUGGACUUGCUUGGAGCUCUGUCUCCGAAUCACUCGUUGAGAGAGUUUCCUAGAGCAAUAUACUCGUGAGGAUACUAACAGACAUGUGAUAGGCACUGCUUGCCUGUAACAUCAACUGUAAAGGAACAAUUCUAAGUAGAAAAAAAAAAUCCCAGAACUCUAAGAUUAUGAUAUGAAAACAAGCAGGCCAUGUUCUUGGGAUUCACUCAACAUAAUCCCAGCCGUCACCUCCAUGCUGGCCUCUGGAACUUGUUGGGGACAGGGGAAGAAGCAAGGAGCAAUCUUUUAUUGGGGAAGGCACUGCUGCAACCUGGUUAAAACAGACGUAAUUUUAAAGAGAAUUUUCUAAAUACUGAAGGAGAACCUAAAGACAUACGAAAACCAUUGAGAACGAAAAUAAUCUAACGAACAAGUUCUAGACAGAUGGUUUCUGAUCUUACAACUAUACUUGCGGCCCAAAAGGCUGAACCCCAUUCAUUUGUUCAAAUGAUGGGGAGCACUUCUAGCUGAUAUGCCCUUUGCUAGGCUUUGGGGCAGAUAUUAAAGAGCAUAGAACGUGGUCCUGGGCCCAAGAAUUCACAGUGGAGUUAGACAAUAAGGCUCAUAACUGACUUUGCUACUUUGUGAUAAAUGCUAUGUCAUGCGUAGAUGAGAACACUUUGGAACACAGGGAAAAACAAAAUCUCUCAGCGCCUUUGGAAUCUGUAAGAAAAGCUGCUGUUGCACAGGAUCUUAAAGGAGAAAUAGCAGGUUCCAGAGCUAAGAAAGGACAGGCGCCCCAACCCAGGCACAGCAAGAAUGAGCAAAUCAGACAACAGCAGUGUAGCAGGUUGGGGGAGGGGCGGCAAGGUGGAACACCACCUCACUCUGCUCCCUCCAGCCUGCUCCCUCUCUCCUGUGACUUGGAAGGGGCCUCCCGGACACCCUGCUUCUGUACUAGCAAAGCCCAGAGGGCGUAUUCCAACUCUUCCCACUCUCUGGGCUCUCUCACUCAGUGUCAGGCCUAAAGUGGAUUAGCAGUUGACACAUUUCAGGAGGACCGUUCUCUUUCUGCAGAAAACAGCAGCUUUAUGAAUUAAAAGUGGUCUUGAGGACUAUUUUCCGAACCUAAAAUUAGAUCUUAAGGUCUAACAGUGAAAUAGAAUGUCUAAAGCAGGGUCUCCAGGACUUUAUAGUAUCAGACCUAUGCUACAGUACCUUAAGCAACUGCUAACCAUUCCCACACCCGACAAUCAGUGGACACUGAGGGGUUACAGGAGAAUGACUCAUCACUUGCACCUUAUGCUUUAGUCUUUUGGGAAGGAAGACAAUCUGUAUUCCCUGUGGAGAAGAGCGAGACAGGAAGAGAAGAGAGGGAGCAAAACUUGCAUCACUUGGAGAGGACACGGGCCACAGCCCACUGCAGGUGCUCGGGAAGAAUACUUUGAUGACGUACAGUGGUUUUUUUAAUGCCCUUGAGGAGCUUGUCUCUCAUUGCUUCCAAAGCUAUUCAAACAUUAUAAGCAAGGCUGGGUGCAACGGCUUACACCUGUAAUCCCAACACUUUGGGAGGCCG
Cebus imitator (Panamanian white-faced capuchin) is the source of this 2496-nucleotide long non-coding RNA. RefSeq lists it as uncharacterized. NCBI's taxonomy places the organism in Eukaryota, Metazoa, Chordata, Mammalia, Primates, Cebidae. The transcript has 3 exons. The record is from RefSeq and is a predicted model, not a curated record.